GGAGCUAACGCGUUAAGUAGACCGCCUGGGGAGUACGGCCGCAAGGUUAAAACUCAAAUGAAUUGACGGGGGCCCGCACAAGCGGUGGAGCAUGUGGUUUAAUUCGAUGCAACGCGAAGAACCUUACCUGGUCUUGACAUCCACGGAAGUUUUCAGAGAUGAGAAUGUGCCUUCGGGAACCGUGAGACAGGUGCUGCAUGGCUGUCGUCAGCUCGUGUUGUGAAAUGUUGGGUUAAGUCCCGCAACGAGCGCAACCCUUAUCCUUUGUUGCCAGCGGUUAGACCGGGAACUCAAAGGAGACUGCCAGUGAUAAACUGGAGGAAGGUGGGGAUGACGUCAAGUCAUCAUGGCCCUUACGACCAGGGCUACACACGUGCUACAAUGGCGCAUACAAAGAGAAGCGACCUCGCGAGAGCA
Molecule: ribosomal RNA, 417 nt
Filed under: Salmonella enterica
Lineage: Bacteria; Pseudomonadati; Pseudomonadota; Gammaproteobacteria; Enterobacterales; Enterobacteriaceae
Description: bacterial SSU rRNA
Rfam family: Bacterial small subunit ribosomal RNA
Source: RNAcentral